RNAcentral lists this ribosomal RNA (424 nucleotides) under uncultured cyanobacterium. RNAcentral describes it as "bacterial SSU rRNA". It matches the Rfam family "Bacterial small subunit ribosomal RNA", at positions 356 to 795 of the family's 1533-position model. The record is from RNAcentral. Lineage: Bacteria; Bacillati; Cyanobacteriota.
GGGGAAUUUUCCGCAAUGGGCGCAAGCCUGACGGAGCAAUACCGCGUGAGGGAAGAAGGCUUUUGGGUUGUAAACCUCUUUUCUCAGGGAAGAAGCAAUGACGGUACCUGAGGAAUCAGCAUCGGCUAACUCCGUGCCAGCAGCCGCGGUAAUACGGAGGAUGCAAGCGUUAUCCGGAAUUAUUGGGCGUAAAGCGUCCGCAGGUGGUACAUCAAGUCUGCUGUCAAAGACUAGGGCUUAACCCUGGAAAGGCAGUGGAAACUGAUGAACUAGAGUACGGUAGGGGUAGAGGGAAUUCCCAGUGUAGCGGUGAAAUGCGUAGAGAUUGGGAAGAACACCAGUGGCGAAGGCGCUCUACUGGACAUGUACUGACACUCAGGGACGAAAGCUAGGGGAGCGAAAGGGAUUAGAUACCCCUGUAGUC